This 70-nucleotide transfer RNA is filed under the name Felis catus (domestic cat). It matches the Rfam family "tRNA". Rfam says of the family: Transfer RNA (tRNA) molecules are approximately 80 nucleotides in length. Their secondary structure includes four short double-helical elements and three loops (D, anti-codon, and T loops). The record is from Rfam by way of RNAcentral. Lineage: Eukaryota; Metazoa; Chordata; Mammalia; Carnivora; Felidae.
GCCUGGGUGGCUCAGUCGGUUAAGUGUCCGACUUUGGCUCAGGUCAUGGGUUCAAGCCCCGUGCCAGGCU